GAUGAACGCUGGCGGCGUGCCUAAUACAUGCAAGUCGAGCGAACAGACGAGGAGCUUGCUCCUCUGACGUUAGCGGCGGACGGGUGAGUAACACGUGGAUAACCUACCUAUAAGACUGGGAUAACUUUGGGAAACCGGAGCUAAUACCGGAUAAUAUAUUGAACCGCAUGGUUCAAUAGUGAAAGACGGUUUUGCUGUCACUUAUAGAUGGAUCCGCGCCGCAUUAGCUAGUUGGUAAGGUAACGGCUUACCAAGGCGACGAUGCGUAGCCGACCUGAGAGGGUGAUCGGCCACACUGGAACUGAGACACGGUCCAGACCCCUACGGGAGGCAGCAGUAGGGAAUCUUCCGCAAUGGGCGAAAGCCUGACGGAGCAACGCCGCGUGAGUGAUGAAGGUCUUCGGAUCGUAAAACUCUGUUAUUAGGGAAGAACAAAUGUGUAAGUAACUAUGCACGUCUUGACGGUACCUAAUCAGAAAGCCACGGCUAACUACGUG
Molecule: ribosomal RNA, 497 nt
Filed under: uncultured bacterium
Lineage: Bacteria
Description: partial 16S ribosomal RNA
Rfam family: Bacterial small subunit ribosomal RNA
Source: RNAcentral